AGUAUACUCCCUCGGUCCCAAAAUUUUUGUUUUAGAUUUGUCUAGAUAUGAAUAUAUCUAGUCACGUUUUAGUAUUUUGAUACAUUCAUUUCUAAACAAACUUAAGACAAAAAUUUUGGGACGGAGGAAGUAUUAU
This 136-nucleotide microRNA precursor is filed under the name Hordeum vulgare. RNAcentral's name for it is "microRNA MIR1122". It matches the Rfam family "MIR1120/MIR1122 microRNA precursor family". Lineage: Eukaryota; Viridiplantae; Streptophyta; Magnoliopsida; Poales; Poaceae. The record is from RNAcentral.